Molecule: long non-coding RNA, 3825 nt
Organism: Rattus norvegicus (Norway rat)
Lineage: Eukaryota; Metazoa; Chordata; Mammalia; Rodentia; Muridae
Exons: 8
Source: RefSeq, marked validated
AACGACAGUUACUGUUCUUUGGGAGGGGGAGAGACAUUUUCUUCAGUGCUGUAGCCCCUGAGUUAACUGCCCUUGGCCCUGUGAAUGAUUCCUCCCCCAUGCUUCUGCUUCCAUGCUGAAGUAGAUCACUGCAGUCCCAUGGUCGUCUCCAGUCUGCAGUAGAUCCGGGUCUUCUCUUCCCUCCCACACCUUUAGCACUUUAGAGGAAGUUCUGGCCUGGGGUCCCAUGGAAUUCCAUCCCAGAUGAGCAUGCUUGGCAGUUUCUCAGAUUGAGUUGCAGCGUCAUCGGGUUUGGGGCGAGCAAAGCAGGCGCGAGGCCUCCCCCUAUUUCACACCCAGAGCACGUGGAACGCUCAACUGACUUUCCGGUGGUCUCCGCCGCCACCUCUUAGUUCAAUGUUUCUGCUGGCAGGUCCCAGACUGUUCAAUGCCUCUCUCUGAACUGGGAAUGAAGAGUUGAGGACCACUGGAUGCUGUGAAGCACCUUUUAGAAGGCUAAGCCUCAGAAGAACAAGAUCGGAAAGCAAAACAGGCUCUGGCCAUAAUGUAUCACUUUGGGCCUCAGGCAAUGGAAGGAGUGGAGUGUGGCCUGAAGCUUCCAAAAUUGUGAUCCCAACGUAACCUUCUCUGCCAAGAAGCUGCGCUUGGGCAUUUGUGAGUGAUGGUAGGCGAACUGACAUGCUUGUCUCCUGGGAGGAAGGCCCAUAAAGUGAUUCCCUAGGGCCAGAGACAUCCUAGCCUCAAACACUACUGAGAAAUGCUAAGACGCCUGAAGCCCACAGCAGACCUCCCAGAAAGGAAAGUUUGUGAAGCGCCAUUCAAACAUGAGCCCUACAGGUCCUCCUGCCACCCGCCUCUUUCCCACUUUCAUCUCAUCUGGGAAGGAUCAACUGCAGGAGGUGGAUGAGAAAGGAAGCAGCAAGGUCUGCUCAAGUCCAGCUCACCUGACAUACCCUGCUGUCCAACCCCACGUGUGCUGCUGUGGAUGCUGGGAGCAGCUGCAGCGUCACAGAGGAAAUCCCCUUUGACUUGGGAUCCAGUGAGACAUCACCUGAUUACAUAGGCUCCAUAAUACUCCCUCAGGACAGGAGAACCAGAGAUGAGAUGUCAGGAGGAGAUCCCCUGAGAAGCUGUCACUGGACCCUAUCAUCAGUGAGCACUGGCCGCAGCCAGGCGGCCCCCAACAGCCUCCGACACCACCAGACGAAGGGGCUGAAAGGAGGUGGGGGUGCAGAUUGUUCGCUUGUUUCCCACUCUAUGUUGUUGCCUCUCUAUCUCAGAGGAAAACAGCACAUUUCCCAGGGGUGAAAACAGGCCCAGCUCUGUGGUCGUCAAACCACAGGGCUGGGGUUGGCCUGGUAUGGACCAAGAGUGACAGGAAGGAGCCAGGCCGGAAUUCCAGGAGCCUGUCUGCUCAAACACCUGUUGGCAUCCAGACAACCCUGGGAGCCAGGCACAAGCUCGCCUUCCUCUCCUCUAGCUGCUGGAUCUGAGCUAAUAGCACCUUCACUCUUUAGUUCAACAUGAAGCCAGUACUGUCCUCUGGGGGAUGUGAUCCACAUGGCUUCCACCUUAUGAAGCUUCAUCCCUCCAGUCUCUGUAAGAUAUUGGGAUGGAACGCCCACAGUGAGAGAACUGAGUGUCCCACUGGACUCAGGGGCUUCACCAGUUCGCCCCUCCCUCAUCCUCACCAACUUUAUCACUGACCAGCGCAGAGACUGUGCCUCCUUCCUGCAAGCACCAAAGGUGCUGGUCCCUAGCCCCAGGAUUCCAGAAACUGGCGGAAUUUUUCCUGUCCCGUGGAGGGAUAUCUUGACUUAUAUUUUGACUAUACGUUUGAGAUUUUUCUGCUACACUGAGGCAAGCUUCUCCAGAACACUGUGGAAGGGUUUGAGAAUAUGUCCCCAGCUGAUCCCUGCAAAGUCGAUGCAGAGCUGCAGCUGCGCCUACCCCUGGACAACAUGGCUGGGGGGAAGGGCAGUGUCUCUCUACUUCGUCCCAGGUCACUGCUGAUGUGAAGAUGAGGGACUUGGGAAUAUCCACUUGGACAAUCUCUCCUUGGCCUUAAAGGGCUGGUCUGCCCUGAAAGAGUCACAGCUCAGAGAGGCUGCUCUUGAGAUCACAAGUUCUAACGAAACAUAGAGAACUCCAUAGCUGUCACAUGCUUCUGCGUGGCUACCUGGAUGGCUUAGAAGACACUGUAAUUGAACCCCAAGGGCUCUCGUGUCUGUGACUGAAAAGACAAAUCAUGCAGAUGAUGCAUAAAGAGAUGAGAAAGAUUUAAUACCCUCAGCAGGUAAGGAAUCAAUUGAGCCGCUAUCCCCUCGGAGGGAAGCGUGGGCGUAUUUCACUCAGGGACCUUAAAUACAUUCCUGGAUGAGUAGCCAUUCAUAAGCAUGCUUGGCCAAGGAGCUUAUGGCCAUGCACAGUUUAAGGUAACGGAGCACACGUUUAGAUUUAAGUGAUGUCGAGAAAGAGUCUCCCACAAAAGUGCUCACCUUGCUUUGUGGCCAACAGCACCGCUGUGGGCACUUGGCGUUGUGGGCACAGGACUCUCAUGGAGUCCGAACCCCUGGUGAGCUUUGUCCACGUGACGCACUGAAGUCAGAAGCAGAAGGCUGCUUAGGCAUGUCAAGAAGAUGGCGGAAGGAUGUUUUGAAUUUCAGUUUGUGCCCGUCCCUUCUCCCCUCAGACUUGGUCUCCUCGUUUCUUCUGUGUUGUUCUGUCAGGGAUAAAGACAGUUCUGAAACCUCAUUUUUGAUGGCUGCUGUUAACCUAAACAACUCUCAUCCCCCAAGAAGAGGGCCUGACCUCAGGGAUGGUGCUGCUCAUGGCUCCUUCGUCUUCAGAGACGCAGCAGGGACGCUGCUACUGUGUGACAGUGCAUGGCUGUUUCCAUGUGCUGCUUCGCCUUUGUCUGCAAGGAUCUGUCUCCCCACUUGCAGAGCACAGAGGUGUCCAGGUGGCACUAACUGUCCCCACCCCUUCUCCAGGCUCCUUUCUGCUGUUCCAGGACAGCCUGCCCUGUGCUGGUAUAUGUUCUGUCAGGCUUCAAGCUCCUUCCCACCCUGGGCUGCCCACAAACACAGUGGAAAACACAGCUCAGCCUUGUAAGCCUUUUAAGAGCCAGACCCUCUCCAUUUGCUGAGUAAACUUGCCCAGGGUUAAAAUACCCCUUGCCCUAGGAAUAAAGACAACAUAAAGUGAAAACAUGGAGUGUUCAGGUCCUCGGUGGGUCUCCUCCAGGUCUUCUGUGGGCCACUGUAAUCUGCUGCAGCAUGCACACAGCUUAGUGACCCUUCCCACAGUGUUCUCCGCUGCUGUCUUCCCAAAGCCUAAUGAGGAAUGGCUAUAGCUUCAGCCACAGAGCACGGCUAUCUUUCUUGUACCUUUGGAAGUGCAAAUGAGAGGUAGCGGUUCAUUAGGUAGACGCCUGCUGAUCGGUGUGCUGUGCAGGUCAUCUCAGGGUUAGACACAUUAGAGAUUGGGUCAUGGAUGGAAACCUCCAACAAUCGGGGACCAAAUAACUCUUCUGUGGUCACAAACUGAAUACCUCUGAAUUAUUCAUCUAGGGAAGGCUAACUGACAUAUGUGUCUCCUUAGAAGAAGGCAUUCCUCCAAACAGCCGGGGGAAGAGACUCGGGGUGGUAGAAAUGCAGAGAUGAUGUAGCAGUGCAGAGAGGCCCAGGUUUUCAGCUUUCACAGGACUGGGUGGGCCUUCUGGUGGUAAAAAUGUCUAUUUUCUUGAAGUCAUUGCUGUACUUUGUAUGUAACCCCACAUCAAUAUUCCCGACAGCGACCCCAAUAAAACUUCGUUGCCUCACC